AACGAACGCUGGCGGCAUGCCUAACACAUGCAAGUCGAACGAGACCUUCGGGUCUAGUGGCGCACGGGUGCGUAACGCGUGGGAACCUUCCCUUAGGUUCGGAAUAACUCCCCGAAAGGGGUGCUAAUACCGGAUAAUGUCUUCGGACCAAAGAUUUAUCGCCAUUGGAUGGGCCCGCGUUGGAUUAGCUAGUUGUUAGGGUAAAAGCCUACCAAGGCGACGAUCCAUAGCUGGUCUGAGAGGAUGAUCAGCCACACUGGGACUGAGACACGGCCCAGACUCCUACGGGAGGCAGGAGUGGGGAAUAUUGGAAAAGGGGAGAAAGUCUGAUCCAGCAAUGCCGCGUGAGUGAUGAAGGUAUUAGGGUUGUAAAGCUCUUUUAACCGGGAAGAUAAUGACAGUACCGGGAGAAUAAGCUCCGGCUAACUCCGUG
RNAcentral lists this ribosomal RNA (433 nucleotides) under uncultured bacterium. RNAcentral describes it as "partial 16S ribosomal RNA". It matches the Rfam family "Bacterial small subunit ribosomal RNA", at positions 29 to 507 of the family's 1533-position model. The record is from RNAcentral.